AGAGCGAACGCUGGCGGCAGGCCUAACACAUGCAAGUCGAGCGCCCCGCAAGGGGAGCGGCAGACGGGAGAGUAACACGUGGGAACGUACCCUUUGGUUCGGAACAACCCAGGGAAACUUGGGCUAAUACCGAAUAAGCCCUUACGGGGAAAGAUUUAUCGCCAAAGGAUCGGCCCGCGUCUGAUUAGCUAGUUGGUGAGGUAACGGCUCACCAAGGCGACGAUCAGUAGCUGGUCUGAGAGGAUGAUCAGCCUCACUGGGACUGAGACACGGCCCAGACUCCUACGGGAGGCAGCAGUGGGGAAUAUUGGACAAUGGCGCAAGCCUGAUCCAGCCAUGCCGCGUGGGUGAUGAAGGCCCUAGGGUUGUAAAGCCCUUUCGGCGGGGAAGAUAAUGACGGUACCCGCAGAAGAAGCCCGGCUAACUUCGUGCCAGCAGCCGC
This 442-nucleotide ribosomal RNA is filed under the name uncultured bacterium. RNAcentral's name for it is "SSU rRNA". It matches the Rfam family "Bacterial small subunit ribosomal RNA", at positions 26 to 518 of the family's 1533-position model. The record is from RNAcentral.